Molecule: ribosomal RNA, 254 nt
Filed under: uncultured bacterium
Lineage: Bacteria
Description: partial 16S ribosomal RNA
Rfam family: Bacterial small subunit ribosomal RNA
Source: RNAcentral
UACGAAGGGGGCUAGCGUUGCUCGGAAUCACUGGGCGUAAAGCGCACGUAGGCGGCUUUCUAAGUCAGGGGUGAAAUCCUGGAGCUCAACUCCAGAACUGCCUUUGAUACUGGAAAGCUCGAGUCCGGGAGAGGUGAGUGGAACUCCGAGUGUAGAGGUGAAAUUCGUAGAUAUUCGGAAGAACACCAGUGGCGAAGGCGGCUCACUGGCCCGGUACUGACGCUGAGGUGCGAAAGCGUGGGGAGCAAACAGGG